CCUCAGUGUUGGUCUCCCACCGUAGUAGGUUCUCCCACCUCAGGAAAAGGGCACAGAGGGCAGGCUGAGGCAGCAGCAGCAGCAGAAGACGCCUUUCCAGCAAUUUUUGGAUUACUGCAAGAGCUUCAUUAUGGCAGUCUGUUAACCUACUCAGAGUUUGGAUGGGAGUUGGAUGGAUGGAUGGAUUGAUGUAUUUUUCUAACCUUCACACAGGAAAGAACUGGGCAUGGUGAAGCAGGUGACAGUAACAAAAAGAAGAAGAAAUGAGACUUAACAACUUUAACAAGUGGCAAACAUGUUACUGCUCCGUCCACUUGGAAAUAAUCCAGGAAGUCCAAAAGGAAAACUAAAGGGAAGUUGGUGUCAGAUUGUGAGAUAUUGAAGAUUAUAAAGGAGCCCCCCUUGAUGGACAGAAGAGGAAGGCUGUAGUGUCAUCUUCUCCUGGUCUGUUUCUCUGUGGAUGAAUCAGGCAGACAUGUGCCUAGCUUUCAAAUCAAUCACUAAGACGCAUUUCAGUGUCUAUUGAUUAACACAUUAUAUCAUUAAAAAUAUAUAUAAUUUUAACCGGAUCACAGGAACAUAUCAUAAGAACAUAAAGAUAGUAAGAAAAAAAAAACAUGCAUUGAAAUCAGAGGAAACCAAAAUGACCAUAAUUGCUUGUAUACUUAGAUAACUGAAAAUAGCUUCCAAAUUGUAAAUGCUUUUCCUUCACAUAGAAACAGAGUGAUAUUAAUGCAGUUUGACAAAUUUAUAGCAAACAGAUUUUUACUUCCUCUUUCAUUUUGUGACCUGUUUUGAGAUCAGUGUUUAGUAGAUUGAUAGGUCUAUAUGAUUCUGGAUUAAGGCAGUGUUGUAUUACACUAGAACACCUACGCAUCCUGUUUCCUUGUUGUUCUCAUGAACUAAAACCUUACCUCAGUACAGUACAAGAAAUCUGUGUUUGAAAAACUAACUUGGACAUGUCUCUCAGCUAUGUACGGCCAUCUCCUUUCUGUACAGUGGCAAUACCAUCAAAGUUGAACUCGUUGUCAUGCAAACAGCACCACAUUACAAUUUAAUUGUUUUUAUAUCAUAUUUUCCUGUGACGUAUUGUUCACUUACAUCUAUAAUUUGUUGUCCUUUUCUGUUUCAGACUGUUAUUUAUGAUGACAAUAAACACGGAUUAAGAUGU
Molecule: long non-coding RNA, 1171 nt
Filed under: Salmo salar (Atlantic salmon)
Lineage: Eukaryota; Metazoa; Chordata; Actinopteri; Salmoniformes; Salmonidae
Description: lncRNA (ENSSSAG00000091856.1)
Source: RNAcentral